RNAcentral lists this ribosomal RNA (253 nucleotides) under uncultured bacterium. RNAcentral's name for it is "partial 16S ribosomal RNA". It matches the Rfam family "Bacterial small subunit ribosomal RNA", at positions 524 to 776 of the family's 1533-position model. The record is from RNAcentral.
UACGGAGGGGGCUAGCGUUGUUCGGAAUUACUGGGCGUAAAGCGCACGUAGGCGGCUUUGUAAGUUAGAGGUGAAAGCCCAGGGCUCAACCCUGGAAUUGCCUUUAAGACUGCAUCGCUUGAACAUCGGAGAGGUAAGUGGAAUUCCGAGUGUAGAGGUGAAAUGCGUAGAUAUCAGGAGGAACACCGGUGGCGAAGGCGGCCCUCUGGACGGUGACUGACGCUGAGACGCGAAAGCGUGGGGAGCAAACAGG